RNAcentral lists this ribosomal RNA (491 nucleotides) under uncultured bacterium. RNAcentral's name for it is "partial 16S ribosomal RNA". It matches the Rfam family "Bacterial small subunit ribosomal RNA", at positions 29 to 506 of the family's 1533-position model. The record is from RNAcentral.
AGUGAACGCUGGCGGUAGGCCUAACACAUGCAAGUCGAACGGCAGCACAGUAAGAGCUUGCUCUUACGGGUGGCGAGUGGCGGACGGGUGAGGAAUACAUCGGAAUCUACUUUUUCGUGGGGGAUAACGUAGGGAAACUUACGCUAAUACCGCAUACGACCUACGGGUGAAAGCAGGGGAUCUUCGGACCUUGCGCGAUUGAAUGAGCCGAUGUCGGAUUAGCUAGUUGGCGGGGUAAAGGCCCACCAAGGCGACGAUCCGUAGCUGGUCUGAGAGGAUGAUCAGCCACACUGGAACUGAGACACGGUCCAGACUCCUACGGGAGGCAGGAGGGGGGAAUAUUGGACAAGGGGGGCAAGCCUGAUCCAGCCAUACCGCGGGGGUGAAGAAGGCCUUCGGGUUGUAAAGCCUUUUUGUUGGGAAAAAAAAGCAGCAGGUUAAUACCCCGCUGUUCUGACGGUACCCAAAGAAUAAGCACCGGCUAACUUCGU